Molecule: RNA transcript, 6983 nt
Organism: Drosophila ananassae
Lineage: Eukaryota; Metazoa; Arthropoda; Insecta; Diptera; Drosophilidae
Exons: 8
Source: RefSeq, a predicted model, not a curated record
AGCUUCUACAUAUUCUUUUAUGGUAGUCAGAUCUGAUUCUUUUCCCUUGGAGGAAGGAGCAAUAAUAUCAACUUGGUCGAUUGCAUGAAUACUUGUGUUAGCACAUAAAUAUAUCAUCCAAUUCAGAGAGUGGAACUUUCACUCCUAGUUCUUCCAUUGACGUGACGCCAUAAUCUUGCAGUCCACAAGGAAUAAUACCCUUAUAAUGAGAGAGGUCUGGAAAGACGUUAAGCGCUAUGCCAUGAUAAGUUACCCAUUUUCUUAAACGGAUACCAAAAGCUGCAAUUUUUUUUUCUACUCCAUUGUUAUUCACCCAAACACCUAUUCUAUCCUCUUUAAAUUCUCCAAGUAUAUUAAAUUGCUUUAAAACAUUUAUUAUCCACUUACUUAGGUCUCUAAUAUAUAGCUUUAUGUCGCAUUUAUUUCUUUUUUUAAGGUUUAACAUUAAAUAUAUGAUGCGCUGUCCUGGACCAUGAUAUGUGUAUUUGCCACCCCUGCCUGUUUUAUAUAUAGGAAAUAAUUUUUCAACAACGUCGUCAUCUGUUGCACUGAUUCCUGCAGUAUAAAGUGGAGGGUGCUGGAGUAGCCAUACUAAUUCGUCUGCUGAAUUAUUGUGAAUUUGUUGAAUUUUCUCUUCCAUAGAUUUUACGGCACAGUUAUAAUCAAUAAGCUGAUUAGAUAUUAGCCAUUCUGUCAUGUUCAAUUUCUUUUCUUUUUAGUAUAGCAGUGCGUUCUUUUCCUGUCAUCCCAGUGUGUGACACUGGGCGCAGCCUUUCUUAUUCCUAAUAUACUUAAUACUAACUUCUGUGCUAUUUCUCCUUAACAAACAUAGUACAUGACAAAUGUUUAAUUAUUUGUCAACACAGGUCCUCUUUACGUAUAGGCAACUUUUUUUAUUGAAAAAUUCAGAAAAAUGUUGUAUAAUUAUUAGUAGAUUUUAGAGUGUCUUGCUGGACUGGCUAAAAUAAGAAAUAAGUCCAUUAAAGAACUAGCAGAGAAGCUAAUACAAGAAGCAAUUCAAAAUGAGGAAGAUAAAAUACUAAUUGAGCGUGCUGCUAGACGUAAUGUUUCAGGUGUGAAGAAAAUUAGAAGUGAGGAUGUAGACUGGAAUACAAUAUUAUCUUCAUAGAAAGCGUUCUUGAGAAAGACCUUCCAGCUCUUCCAAAAACAAUAAGAUUAAGGAUCAUAAAUGCGAUAAAUAAGCGCCUUACAGUUGAUCCCAUUAACCUUGGUGAGCCAUUAUAUUACAGAUUUAAAGGACAAAGAAGAUUAAGGGUAGGUGAUUAUCGCGUUAUCUAUUCCGUAAAUAUUAUAAAAUAUGAAGUGGUUAUCACAGAGAUAGGACACAGAAAAGAUAUUUAUAAGUGGCUUCGCUCAGCUCAAAAAAAAAGCUCAUUCUUUUUGCUACCCCUUAUUGUGCCUGCCAUUUAACUACUGUGUAGAGAUUGCUCUCAAACAUAAUGUUCGUACGAGGCACAUAUGAAUUUCAACAUCUUUCAAAGAAAAAAAAGCGCAGUAUUUACUAAAUAUUCUGCUUUGCAGCUAAUGAUGGAGCCAAGUUGGAGUAAGCGUGAUUAUAUUAGGUAGACUGCGUACCGGAACUCCACCAAGGCUUGAUCGUGGCACUAUAAAUUGGUCAAUAUUGCAAGAACAAGUGGGUGAUAAUCCACCUGUGCCGUUUUCUUAUCUCACAGAAAAAAUUAACCAACCUCAGGUCAGCUUCUUCGUAUCUAAGUGACGUUGUUGCGCCAAGAUACUGCCCAUCCAUUGAAGUUAAAGUGAAAAAAUUCGCAGAAAAAAGUAGCCACCAAAUAUUUUUAGAACCAGAAGGCCUGGAUGAUGAUACUGUAUACCCGAACGGAAUUUCAAAUUCAUUGCCCAUUGAAGUGCAGCGUGAAAUGAUAAAGAGUAUCAAGGGACUUGAAAAUGCAGAAAUACUAAGACCUGGAUAUGCAGUUGAGUAUGACUAUAUUGACCCACGAGAGCUGUUUCAUACUCUUGAAACCAAGAAAGUCAAAGGCCUAUAUUUUGCUGGCCAAAUUAAUGGCACCACUGGAUAUGAAGAAGCAGCAGGGCAAGGAAUUAUCGCCGGAAUUAAUGCAGCACUCUCUGCAUUUGAAAAAAAAGAAAGCUUUGUUCUCCAUCGUACAGAUUCGUAUAUCGGUGUAAUGAUAGAUGAUCUAGUCACUAAAGGGGUGAUCGAACCUUAUAGAUUAUUUACCUCGCGUGCAGAAUAUAGGCUAGCUAUCAGGUCAGACAAUGCAGAUAGAAGAUUAACACAAAAAGGUUAUGAUAUUUCCCUUGUUUCGCAUGAGAGAUACUCUGUUUUACAGAAUAAACUUGAAUCCAUUAAGCAGCUUGAAGAGAAGUUAGGGAGUCUGACGAUUACUCCUGAGCAGCUUAGGUCUUAUGGUAUCAAAAUAUCUUAUGAUGGGAUAAGAAAAACGGCACUAGAUUUACUUAGCUAUCCAAACAUCGACUGGAAUAAAUUACAAGAAAUAUGGCCGGAGUUAAGCAGCGUCACGCGCUGGAAUGACAAAAUGGGACACACCAAAGCGGAUAAUAGAGCUAAGAAUGAAAUAUGCGAAGCGGUUGAAAUUGAAGCAAAAUACAAACCUUAUCUAAUAAGACAAGAAGCGGAUAUGAAGUUUUUACGAGAGGAAAUUAACACUCAAAUUCCAAUUGAUUUCAACUAUUCACAAGUUAAAGGCCUGUCAAGUGAAGUAAUAGAAAAGUUGCAGACGAUAAAACCAGCGACGAUUGGCAUUGCAAAGCAAAUACAAGGCAUCACUCCCGCAGCGAUAGUGAGCAUAUUAGUGUAUUUGAGAAACAGGAAAACGAAAGUGGCUGCUAAUUUUGUAUGAGGUGUUCUAUGUCAAAAAUCGAAGAAUUUCGUUCUUUUAUGCACGAGAUAAACGUUGAUGCAUUUAUGUUGCAUACUAAAGAUGAAUAUUUAAAUGAGUAUUCAGAGGAGCUAACAAAGCUGUGUGGCUUUACAGGAACAAAUGGGCUACUUAUCGUUACAAAAGACAACAAGUGCCCAUUUUUUACGGAUGGACGCUAUAUCACACAAGCUCGCAAUCAGCUCGAUCGGGGCAAUUUUCAAGUAUAUAAUAUACAAGAAGAGGAUCCACGCGAAUGGAUAAAAGCAAACUUAACAUCGACUGCCUCACUAGGUUAUUAUUUGCAAUAUUUUACCAUAGAAGAUAUAAGAAAGUAUGAGAAUAUCUGUAAAUUAAUACCCUGUUUAGCUGGAAAAAAAAGUGACUAUCGAAAACAAGCAGUGGUUUUACAUUCUAUUGAACAUGCUGGUGAAAGUAGUAAGGACAAAUGUGAAAAAGUCGCUAAAAGUAUAGAUAAAGAAGCUGAAGCAGUGCUUUUAACUGAUCCAAAUUCAAUUUCAUGGUUAUUAAAUUUAAGAAACGAAAAUGCUAAAUAUACUCCAUGUAUAUUGGGUCGUGCUAUAUUGUAUAAAAGCGGUAAUGUUGAUUUGUUUAUUCAAGAUAAAGAACAUUCAACUAUAGAAGCAAAUUUAGGCAAUCAUAUAAAUAUUUUUGAUAUUAGUGAGCUAGAAAAUUCGCUGCACAAGCUAAAUUCAAUAGUCAUGGAUCCAAGCACAACUCCAAUGAGUAUCAUGGCUGUAAUAAAAGAUAAACAGGUAGCUGAGAGAGAAGAUCCUUGUCUAAUUUAUAAAGCAGCAAAAAACCAAACUGAAAUAGCUGGGGCUAUAAAUGCGCAUAUCAGAGAUGGAGUGGCAGUUACAAAUUUUCUAUAUUGGCUUGAAAAUAAUGUUGGUACAGAACUUGAAGCUGAAGAAAAGAUUUUAGAAUACAGAAAAGAGCAGAAUUUGUUUAAGCAACUAAGUUUUCCAACAAUUUCAGCAUUUAAUGAGAAUGGAGCAAUAAUUCACUAUCGUGCAAGCAGUAAGACGAAUAAAGUAAUUCAGAAAGAUGGACUGUAUUUGAUUGACUCUGGUGGCCAGUACCUUGACGGCACAACUGAUGUGACAAAAACUGUAGCAAUUGGCAAUCCAACUGAUGAACAAAUAACCCACUAUACAAUAGUACUCAAAGCUCACAUUGCUAUAGCAAGUGUCAUCUUUCCUCCUGGCACUACUGGUGGAGAAUUGGAUAUAUUAGCACGUACGCAUUUAUGGAAAUUUGGAAUGGACUAUAUGCAUGGUACAGGGCAUGGAGUAGGAAGUUACCUAUCAGUACACGAAGGACCACAAGCAAUAUCAAAGGGAAAUAAAGUGAAACUCACGCCAGGCAUGAUACUAUCCAACGAACCUGGCUAUUACAUUCCGGGAGAGUAUGGAAUAAGGAUUGAAAAUCUGAUGUAUGUUGAUAAACAUAAAAAUGGUUUCUUGGGAUUUAAACAACUAACCUCUAUUCCAUAUGAUAGAAGGCUAAUAAGUGUGCAAAUGCUUACUAAGGAUGAAAUUGAAUGGAUAAAUGGCUACCAUCAAUUUGUCUAUAAAAACUUAGAAAAUAGCGUCAAAGAUAAGGAGUGGUUAAAGAAAGUAUGUGACCCUUUAUAAGCAAAGGAGCAUUUUUUAUUAUUUAAAAAGUAUUAAUGCAAUUGUGACAGGUAGGUUAUAAUUAUGAUAGACAAAGGGCAAGGAGAUGAAUUUAUGAAGCAGUAUAUGGAUACUUGCAAAGAGCAAAUAGAAAAAUUAGCCAAGGAUCCUGAAUUGCUUAAUCAGGCUUUAAAACCAUUUAUGCAAAUGUCUCAGCAGCUUAUGGCUGGCGGUAUGUUAGAAGGGGCUAUGCCUGGCAUGAUACCUGAUUUGGGCAGUAUGGAUGUUAACAAGAUGAUUGCUCAGAUGAAGGAAAUGAUUGACUACAUAAGAGGUAACUAUAAGGAACUAAUGAAAGAGCGCAGCUCGCAGAUUCAAGAGCUUAAUGAAUCCAGUAAAAAGCUAAGAGGCUUAGUUAAAAAAUUGAUAGAAAAGAUCGAAAGUAAAUAAAUAACAUCUGGAUUUCUGUCAUUCUAUAUACAACUUUCUAGUUGGACGGUAAGUCGAGGUCAAUUAUUGAUGUCAUGAAAGUAGCUGACACUGGUUCCUUUAUGACGGCAGUGCCCAGAGGUGUCAUCCCAGUGCUUGACACUGGGAUCCAGUUCUUAUUACCUGGUGUAAAGUUAAGUUUCCUGGAUUCCAGUGUCAAGCACUGGAAUGACAGCAAUCCUACGUCAUACCGCGAUUCAUUCGCGGUAUCUUAGUAUAGAUUCCGCUAACAAGUAGCGGAAUGACGGUUUUUCAAAUCGUCGAUGAACCUAAGUCACUUUAGCUAUAGUAUCGGGAACGUAAUUGCACAUUGGUUUUACAAAUUUGAAAAUUAGUGUUAGAUAAAAAUAUAAACGCAAAAGGAAAAAAAAUGAUUGAACUUAGAGGUCCAGAAAUUUGUGCAGGCGGAAAUAAGAAAAAUUUGAUUGUUUUUUUACAUGGUUGGGGCUCAAGUGGCGAUAAUUUCAUUCACCUUGCUAAAGUUAUGAGCAAGUUUUUACUGGGUUCAUAUUUUGCAGUACCCAAUGCUCCGUUUGAAAGAGAAAUAGGUGAUGGUUAUCAGUGGUUCAGCUUGGAAGAUCGUAGUGAGGAAGCGCUAUAUAAUGGAGUAAAAAAUGCUACAUCAAUUGUAAAUCAUUUCAUUGAUACAAAAUUAAAGGAGCUUAAUUUAAAAGAUACGCAACUUUCUUUAGUUGGAUUUUCUCAAGGAGCAAUGCUUGCAAUACAUACAGCUCUCACCCGCUCUCAAUCCUGUGCAUCAGUUGUUGCAUACUCUGGUAGAUUUCUUUCACCUUCAAAAACUGCACCAGAGAUCAAGUCAAAACCUAACAUAUGUGUUAUCCAUGGUGAUGCUGACGACGUGGUACCUUUUUCGUCCCUCGACUUAGCGGUUAAAGCUCUGAAAGAAAAUGGAGUAAAUGUUGAAGGACACCCAAUUCAUGCAUUAGGGCAUAUUAUUAAUGAAGAGGGAAUAAAAUUAGGAGUAGAAUUUAUCAAGAAGAAUUUUAAAAAUUAAUUUUCAUGCACUUGUUUUGCUUUGGUUAUGGAUAUGUAGCUAAAUUUUUAUCGAAAAAAUUACUGAACUUAGGUUGGAAAGUCAGUGGCACAUCAAGAAGUAAAAAUAUACAAGAUGUAAUCCUCUUUAAUUAUGAGAAAGUUAGUCAAGAUCUGCUUAAAAGCGCAACGCACGUUUUAAUUUCUAUUCCUCCAGAUGGCGAUGAUGUUGUGGAGAGAUACGGUGAUUGUCUGCAAAAUGUAAAAUGGCUUGGUUAUUUGUCUGCAACUAGCGUCUAUGGUGAUCACUCUGGUAAUUGGGUGGAUGAGGAAUCUGAAACAAGACCUAUAGAAAUCAGAGGAGAAAAGCGCCUUAAAUCUGAAAAGAAGUGGCUAAAUAGCAAACUGCCUGUACAUAUUUUUCGUUUAGCUGGAAUAUACGGUCCUGGUAGGAACGUGUUAAUUGACUUGCAGCUUGGCAAAGCAAGAAAUGUGAAAAAAGAAGGGCAUUUUUUUUCUCGUAUUCACGUUGAAGAUAUAUCGAAUAUUUUAUUUUCUUCCAUGCAAAACAUAAAACCUGGUGAAAUAUACAAUUGUGCAGACGAUUUACCCACUACACAAUCUGAAGUGGUAAUAUAUGCGACCAAACUUCUCAAUGUUAGCCCUCCAGAACCAAUUGAGUUACCAGAUUAUGCACAGAGUUUUUAUUUAGGAUCAAAGAGAGUAAGUAAUGUUAAAAUUAAAAAAGAUCUUAAUGUCUCUCUAAUUUAUCCUAACUACAAGGUGGGAUUAGAGAGUUUGCACGUAAACAAAACUGAAAUCACAUCAGAAUGAUAGAUAGGCUUAUUGUCACUGCCAUUAAGUUAAGGAAAGAAUGGUUAAAAACUGAACUAAAAAGUCAGAAAUAAGUAUCCGUUCAGCGGAGUGGCAGAAUAAGGUAGACAAGGUGAUCUAAAAAGAUAAUCAUAGAGCAAAAGUGAAA